GUAUGUGAUUGCAGCAGUGUGUGUGUGCAGCCUUUUUUUGAAUUGCUGAGAACAGAUUUCUGUGCCAAUUUAGGAAUUUUAUUUCCUACGCCGGGAACAUUUUCCUUAGAUUCCCUAUAGUUGCCUUUUUGACCCGUAAGCUCACAUCUCAUCUUUUGCGUGACAGAGAUGAAAUAAAAACAGUCAAAGAGACAGGUAAGCCAACGGAACGAAUUUUGAAG
Long non-coding RNA from Malaya genurostris, 221 nucleotides. RefSeq lists it as uncharacterized. NCBI's taxonomy places the organism in Eukaryota, Metazoa, Arthropoda, Insecta, Diptera, Culicidae. The record is from RefSeq and is a predicted model, not a curated record. The transcript has 3 exons.